AUUGAACGCUGGCGGCAUGCCUUACACAUGCAAGUCGAACGGUAACAGGUCUUCGGAUGCUGACGAGUGGCGAACGGGUGAGUAAUACAUCGGAACGUGCCCGAUCGUGGGGGGAUAACGAAGCGAAAGCUUUGCUAAUACCGCAUACGAUCUACGGAUGAAAGCAGGGGACCGCAAGGCCUUGCGCGAACGGAGCGGCCGAUGGCAGAUUAGGUAGUUGGUGGGAUAAAAGCUUACCAAGCCGACGAUCUGUAGCUGGUCUGAGAGGACGACCAGCCACACUGGGACUGAGACACGGCCCAGACUCCUACGGGAGGCAGCAGUGGGGAAUUUUGGACAAUGGGCGAAAGCCUGAUCCAGCCAUGCCGCGUGCAGGAUG
This 379-nucleotide ribosomal RNA is filed under the name uncultured bacterium. Its description in RNAcentral is "bacterial SSU rRNA". It matches the Rfam family "Bacterial small subunit ribosomal RNA", at positions 30 to 410 of the family's 1533-position model. The record is from RNAcentral.